This 6575-nucleotide long non-coding RNA is filed under the name Sus scrofa (pig). RNAcentral's name for it is "lncRNA (ENSSSCG00055016277.1)". Lineage: Eukaryota; Metazoa; Chordata; Mammalia; Artiodactyla; Suidae. The record is from RNAcentral.
AGGGGUUUAGAUUCCCUCUGCUUCCCCUCUGCCAUCUCUGAUGGAUGGCUUGCAGUAGCUUGCCUGCUGGAGUGCUUGCCCAUCCGUGGGUGGAGUAUGCACUCGAUUAGCCAUGCCUGUCAAGGCUCAGGGAUGGAGGCAGCGGUGUGCUUGCUGUCUGUCACCAUCUCUUCCGCCUGCACCAGCAGCUGCGAUUUUGAUGUGAGGAGAAUCCUAUUUUAGGCAUUUUGGAAAAAGAGACAUAACCUCUGUCCUGGGGGGAAAUUACAGUCCCAUCAGGGAGGCAGAGUAUAGGCACGAAGAGGACUUAAUGCCCAAAGAAUCUCAACCAUCUCAAUUAGGCAUUAUCAGCAUAAGUCGGGUGAAGACCUACCUCCGUCGUGCUUUGUAGGAAGGUCCCGGGUGGGGUCCCGGAUGUGGAGGGUGAGCAAGGGGUCUGGGAGUGAGGGAGAAGGUCCGGUGAGGGCCAGUGGAUGGCGUCUCCUCUGGAUGUGCUUCUUCUGGAACGUUUCUCCCAUUCUAGACAUCAGGCUGGUUUUAUCCGCGUCUGGGUCCCGAGACAGCAUUCUGAUGAUCGUCAAAGGUCAGCCCUGGGCCCCCGCCUGGGGCAGCUGCUCCAGUUCUAUUUUCUUCCCUGUUCUGAGGGCCGACGGGGGUUCGGGUGCCAUUCACGAGAUGCUUGAGUGGAGCAGGCUGUGGGGACCCCCUGCCUGAACCCGAGUUGGAAGAGGUGCCUCUGGGAGUCUGGGGUUGCAGGGCCUGGGGACAAAAGACAUCAAAGCGCCCGGAGCACAUCCCUGAAUCGGAGUCUUAGAGAAAAGGGAGUAUCUGCGUUGCAGGUUCCCCCUUUUCUAUUUUCUUGUGUUGUUUUGCCUUUUAAGUGCAAAGAAGAUGCCGCACAGCAGGAACAUCUGUGCUCCUUAGGCUUCUGUGGCUGAUUUGUUAAAUGUAAAUUUCCUAAUGUAGGUUAUGGAGCUGGCGGAGGAGAGCAGCAGAGAGGCUGGCUGGGGAAACCUCUCUCCCCACUCAGCCUCAUGUGGUGCGUGUGGCUCCAGGGCCAGCCUUGAAGAAGGCGAGACCGAGGCCCCAGCUCCCCGUGCCCUUGGCUCUCCACCUUGGGGGCACGUGGGCCCUAUAAGGACAAGGCUUGUGCCCUUGGCCUUGGUGCCUUCGAAGCUGGUGAGAAGGAGCAGCUGGUGAUAAUGUGAACAGCCGCUGAGACAGUUCCUUAGAUGGUGGCCUGAAAUAUGCAAAGCCCGCCCUGUCGCUGGUGAUGGGGGGGCCUUGUGGGAGUUUUUUAGGGGCCAGUGGUUAUCUAGUGAGCAAACCCAGGAGAUGGGGACUCAGAGAAGCAAAAUGACCCUCUCACGAUCACACUCUGGAGGCACAGCCAGCACAGGAGCUUGGACAUGCUGAUUCACGCCAGAAGUACCACAGUUCCUCAAUUAAGGAUGCAUUUUCGUUCACAUUUGGAACGUCAAAACUCAGGCUGCAUCUUACCAAUGGCUGACAUUGUGUCAGAAGGGUGAACUUGGGAGCCUCUUGUGGCUCAGCCAUAACGAACCUGACUAGCAUCCAUGAGGACGCAGGUUCGAUCUCUGGCCUCCCUCAGUGGGUUAAGGAUCCGGCGUUGCCAUGAGCUGUGGUGUAGGUCACAGACACAGCUUGGAUCUGGCGUUGCUGUGGCUGUGGUGUAGGCUGGCAGCCACAGCUCCAAUUUGACCCUUAGCCUGGGACCUUCCGUGUGCUGCAGGUGUGGCCGUUAAAAGAACCCCCCCCACGGAAAAAGAAUGGUCACCCUUACAAUUCGUGGGGCUCCGGGUCCGUCAGAUGUGGUAGAGCCUGUUUCUCAAGCGCUUGCAUGAUGACUGGUGGUGUGGCACUUGCUUCGGACAUGUCUGCUAAAUUCAAUCCUCAACAAAAUCAAAUCCACCCAUUUCUGAUGCGAAACCUCAGCUCCUCUCCAGCCAAGCCGCUGGUCGGUGGCAGAGUUUCCGGCUCCAAGGGGUUGGGGGGCCCUUGCGAGGGAGAGAGGCUCUCAGACCUUGUCUCUGUUCCCUGGUGCCCACCUCAGACGGGCUGAUGGUGUGGGUCUUUGGCCCUUCCCUGUGCCUCUGGAACGAGACCACUUUCUUUCUUCUAGUGGUCACCAAGCUGCCGCCUGCGAGUUUUCUGGACACUUGCGGCUGAACUGUGUUCCGAUCGAAAGAAACGCAAUUACUCUCGGAGACUCGAGGGCAAUUGUGAACACUUGCAGCCUUGCCUUCUUGCUCGAUACUCGCUUGGAGGGGCUCUCCUGAGAGGGCUGGAAAGCCAUCUCUGGCUGGAGAGCGAUCUGGACAGCCUCGGCUCUGUGCCGGGGAUGCACCGGCAGCUCUUCGCCUCUCUCAGGGCGGGGCAGAGUUAUUUUCACUCAGGCGUGGAUGGGGGACUUGACUCAGGACAGAGGUGACAUCCCGCCUCUUUCAGGUGCGAGCCAAUUUGUCGAAAGGUAGCAGAGGGGAUUGUUAGGGAUGCCAGGCAGUUUGGAGUGUCCUCCAGGGAGAGAACCUGAAGGGGGGAGGCGCCUUCAGAUGUUCCGCGCCCUUUUGCAAAGCGCUGGGAGGGUCAGCAGUUCCUACCCUGAGAAUCUCAUCAAAGAGCUAAGUGAUGCCCAGAGGGAUGCCUAGUUCUCCCAGAAUGCUGAGUCCCAAGCUUUCUUCUUGUUGAAAUAGGCGGCGCGGGGCGGGGUGCCUCUCACCCCCAUCUUAAGGUGCAGAUAGAAAGAAUGCUAAGCACACUCGUGCUGUCUUUGUGCCCAAGCUGGGUGAGGGGAGGGGACCCAAGGAGGGUGGCCCAGGGAGGGAGAGGGAAGAGACCUGGGGGCAGCGGUCUGGGCCCGGUGGUGGUCAUUCCCUCCCCAGCGAUGGACAUGGGCCCUCUGAGCCUCCCCCUCGCUGGCUCUCUGCGAGCGUUUCUUCCAUCACAGUGGCGUUUCUUCUGCCCCCUCACCCAGCCCUCCUGACUCUGCACCACCCACCUGGGCCCAAGGGAGGUGGAUGGAAAGGUCCUUCCAUGGCUCCCUUACUUUCAUCUCUAAUGGGGAGCCUUGGAUUUGGAGUUGGCGGCCCGGGGGCGGGGGUUCUAGCUGCUCCCUGUGGACCCCAGAGCUCAGCCAGACAGGCUGGGACAAGGGGGCCAGGCGCCUCUGACUGCAGCUUCUGCACCGGCCGUGUGCUUGUUGAGCUCGUGCCCAUGGCUCCCAGGCCUGAUCUCUCAGUUAUUACUGCGCACAGCCAAGCAGACAGCAGCGGUAAUUAUCAGCACUUUGAGAGCUGCCAUUCGCCUCGCUCGGCAAGGUGACUCAGAACAUUAGAUCAGAAUUAGAGAAGGAGAAAAAAACGAUCCAGCGAAGCCCCCCCGACCCCACCCCACCCUUGUGUGAUCUCCGGCUCUCAAGCCCACCGAAGCACUCACUUUGGAGACAGAGCUCUGUCACACUGGUGUUCACUCUGCCCUUUCUCCUGGAUGAGGCACGUAGGGUUCCCUGCAGUGGAAGGGGCUGCCUUGUCAUCUGGCUCACGCCUGCACCUCUGGGAGCCAUCAGGUUUGUGCUGAAGGAGCCCUGGGGAGAGGCGGCAAGCUGGAGAGGGAGACGUGGUCACCGGAGGCAAGGCGGGAGCCCUGCUGUUGACUCUUCUGAUUUGUCUAUUGUGUUGACCUGGGAUGCUUUGCUCUAGUUUCAAAUUUUAAGCUCCAUGAGGGUAGAACAGGCUCGGUCUGGCUCACAGCUGCACCUCCAGAACCUGGAGCUGAGCCCAGGUAGUGCUUGUGGGAGCAGGAUUCGGGACUGGCUCCAGUGUGCCAGAGGCAGGGAGCCCCUUGCCAGCAACUACUGCCCCCCCCCGGGGGGGGGUAGGAGGCAAACACACUGGGGCUGUCUGCUGGGGUGUCCUCUGCACUUUCUGCUCAGGGAUUGGCCUGCAGAGCCUGACUAAGGAUGGAAAAUUUUAUUCUUGCUUCAGGAAAGCGCAAGAAAAAUAUUUGUUCCCAUCAUCAAAGUGGAAAUUUAAGUCAAUGACAAUGGAAACUAUUUCUGGCCAUUCACAGACUAGGAAGAGAAGGGAGUGGGUCGAUUCAAAACAGGGUGGAAGAAUUCAGGCACUGAAAACUGUAAAUUUUAGGGGUGAAAUAACAGCACAGAAAUAAAAACUCACCAAGGGAACAUAAACCAGCCCUUUUGUCAAGCAGACAGGGCAAACCCCGUCCUAUUUCCUGGUUUGAGCUGGGCUGCAGAGGUGAGGGGCAGCAGGGGGAACUUCUAAGGGAGAAGCGCUGGGGUUUCCUCCCCCUCCUGCACACGACUUGUUGACAUCAGGCAGCUUUUCAGGGCGUCCGGUCACCCAUGCACGCCUGUCUCCUUCAUCCCCACCCUCUGAAAACCCUAUUUUGGCGGAGUCUCUGGGGUAGAUGGACACCAGAGGGUUUCCAGGUGAAAAUGCGAGGGGCGCCCAGCAGUGAGCCAAAGCUUGCCUGGGAGUUGGGUGUUUUGUGGGUUCAAAUCGGGCUGGGAAGGAAGCAGCUGACUAGAAUAAUCUGGAGGGGGGCAGGGGAGAUAGAUGAAGUAAGAUGGACCCUGCAUUGGGGGUGAUUGGUCUGGGGUGCUGGCUCCUAUAGGGUUCAUUUUAUGACUCUGUUUAAUUUGGCUAAUGUUCAUCCAUGUCCAUAAUCAAAAGUCACAAAAUACAAGAAGCAGCUGACCCCCCGUUUCCCUCCUUGGGCACCAUCCCCUAGUGGAGGUCUCUUUCCUCUUUUGUUCUAUGUAGACUGACUCUCCCAAGACCCGGGUCCCAAAUCCUGCAGGAAUGUGGAAAGGAAAAAAUGUGAGACAGACUUUUAUCAGGGUUUGCAUUGAGCGCUUUAGUUUUUUCCAUGGCCUUUUGGAGAUCCACUUCUGAGAAGCAGCGAGGGUUUUCCCUGUUCCCAAGGUACACGUCCAGGAACAUACUGAGGCCAGCUGGACACCUGGUGGGGGCUCCCAAGUCCACGUUCCCAGCUCCACUGGGGGCCUCUGGUACUGCCCCCCUCGGGCCAUGUCCCCUCCUCUGGUGGGUGCCCCUUCCUCAAUGGUAGUGCCUGGGUUCGGGCUCAGAGGGGCUGCCGUGCCUGCAGGAGCGGGGGCUGUGCUGCCCCCACUGCCUGGAGGGGCCGUUGUUCAAGCCAGCACUUUGCAGCCUCCACAGGAGGGGUUCCACAUUGCAUAGGCGGCCAGAACAGGACGGGCUGGGCGAACCUUUUUGCCCAUGUUGUGCAGAGAGGCCUUCUGCCUGGACCCUGGGGUGGCUGUAGCAUAAACGCUCGCGCAUGCGAAGGGGUCGUCUUUGAAUUCCUGUGUGAAUCCAUCAUGUAUUCACGGCCCCCAUUUGUUCCUGCCCUACAAGGAGCUCUCUUCCCAACCUCGUUCUUGUAUAUGAUUUUCUUUUUGGUGGCGGCCCCAUUGACCAGGUAAUUAUUUGGCAGCUGAAUCGAGGCAGCCUUCUCCUUGCUCGCUUCCGCUCUCUCCUCUAGGUCACAGCUCAUGGGCACAGUACAGAGGUCAGGUGCGUACGGCCUGAGUCUGUCCUGGCCCCGCCGACUCAGAACGCAAGUCUGAGAAGACCUAGCAGUGGUCACAGACCCGGCUGCGGUGGCGUCCCCCUCUUUCACCGUCUCCAUUGCCCGAGUUGGCCUCAUGCCCAUUUCUUCCCUGCCAUUGGCACUCUCUCCCAGUGGGGCACCUCCUCAGCCUCUCUUCCUGUCCCUUUACCAGGUGGCCACCGAGGAGCAUUUUAUGAAGAUGCAAAUCUGGAGGCCGUGAUGGAGGAUAAUAUAAGAAAGGGAAGCAUGACCCGGUCACUUUGCUAUAUAGCAGAAAUUAGCGCAAUUGCUAAAGUAGAGCAAAUCAGCUAUACUUUAAUUAAAAAAGUUAAAUGAAAAACAUAAAAUAAGAUCACAAAUCUGAUCAUAACCUGCCUGCUUCCAACUCUUCCGGGGCUCUCCGUGGCCCACAGCGCGAGUGAGGUCUUCAGCGGGGCCUGCGUGCCUUUUAGGAGCUGAGGCCACCCUUGUCCCUCGGCUUCUCCUCUGACCACUUCUGCACACACAUCUCAGGUUGCAGCUUGCCAUCUCUUUUGUUCUCAUUCUCUGCUGGUUACAGCCCCCCUCACCUUUGCAUCCGCCAGUCCCUCGCUGGGAAAUGUUCACCUGCCUUGUUCAUCCCAAAACUGUGUGUUCUUGUGGCAGACCCUUAUCUGCGGUUCUGACAUUCAAAAAGUUCUGAAAGGAGUUCCCGUUGUGGCUCCGUGGUUAACGAAUCCGACUAGGAACCAUGAGGUUGCGGGUUCGAUCCCUGGCCUUGCUCAGUGGGUUAAGGAGCCAGCGUUGCCGUGAGCUGUGGUGUAUGUCGCAGACGCAGCUCGGAUCUGGCAUUGCUGUGGCUCUGGCGUAGGCCGGUGGCCUCAGUUCCAAUUAGAUCCCUAGCCUGGGAACUUCCAUAUGCCUCAGGUGCAGCCCUGGAAAAGACAAAAAGAAUGACAAAAAAAAAAAAAAAAAAAAGU